UAGGGAAUCUUCCACAAUGGGCGAAAGCCUGAUGGAGCAACGCCGCGUGUGUGAUGAAGGGUUUCGGCUCGUAAAACACUGUUGUAAGAGAAGAAUGACAUUGAGAGUAACUGUUCAAUGUGUGACGGUAUCUUACCAGAAAGGAACGGAUAAAUACGUGCCAA
Molecule: ribosomal RNA, 164 nt
Filed under: uncultured bacterium
Lineage: Bacteria
Description: partial 16S rRNA
Rfam family: Bacterial small subunit ribosomal RNA
Source: RNAcentral